This 644-nucleotide long non-coding RNA is filed under the name Phasianus colchicus (ring-necked pheasant). RNAcentral's name for it is "lncRNA (ENSPCLG00000006685.1)". Lineage: Eukaryota; Metazoa; Chordata; Aves; Galliformes; Phasianidae. The record is from RNAcentral.
UAUUACUUUUUUUUUGUAGCUACAGAAACGGAACUUCUCUCCCGCUUUACAGUCCUGAUAUGUACCUUAGACUAUUCUUUACACAAGAGAUAGGUUUCUGGAGCCAUAGAGCCUGCAAGACAGAACUGCAGCCAUUGAAGUCCAUCUCAUUAGGGGGAAAGCAGUUUCUGCAUGCAUUCAGCUACCAGUAACUUCAGUUAGUACCUUGUCUGGAGUGUUCCUGCAACUAUCAUUUUUUCUCUUCUCUAGAACUGACUGCUUUCUCAAAUCUAUCUUUGCAAGCAGACUACCUUCCCAUCAAAUUGGGGAAAAUGAUACACAAAUUAAAAAAAAAAAAAAAAAGCAGCUUUCAUCUUUUUAUUGCUGUUCUAACAGCCUCUCUAAACCUCCAGUAUCUGAGGAGAAAGCAUCAUAUCUUCAGUUGGAAAAUAAGAAGCAACCUUAAUUCUUAUACAAGGCAGAUGUACAGACUUGCCUAGAAGACAGUAUCAAAAGAACUUGCUAAUUUUUAUUAUUUUCACGCAGUGGAAUGCAUUAAAUUACUUUUCAUAACUCUGAAAUUGUUAUUGUUCAUCUGUUACUGGAGAUCAGUGGGAAUAUUGUGUUUCCUGGUGCCCAACACUCGGGGUUUUCAUGGAAAGAGG